UACGUAGGGGGCAAGCGUUGUCCGGAAUUAUUGGGCGUAAAGCGCGCGCAGGCGGUCGUUUAAGUCCGAUGUUUAAACCGUGGGCUCAACCCGCGGUCGCAUGGGAAACUGGACGGCUGGAGUGCAGGAGAGGAAAGUGGAAUUCCACGUGAGCGGUGAAAUGCGUAGAGAUGAUGGAGGAACACCAGUGGCGAAGGCGACUUCUGGCCUGUAACUGACGCUGAGGCGACGAAAGCGUGGGGAGCAAACAG
Molecule: ribosomal RNA, 251 nt
Filed under: uncultured bacterium
Lineage: Bacteria
Description: partial 16S ribosomal RNA
Rfam family: Bacterial small subunit ribosomal RNA
Source: RNAcentral